GUACAACUCACUCAUAAUUACAUAUACUAACUUCAUAAUCAAAUUAAACACCAAAAUAUAAUCUAGAAUAAAAGGGAUAGAGGUGGCUUAGUGGUGUGUCGGAUGGUCUCUAAGCUCACGUCUUGGUGGUGAUGGUGGAGUAGAUGGAGAAAAUGAUGAUAGAAAAGAGAGUGGAGAAAUGAUGUAGUAGUGGUGGUGUUAAUGGAGGUAGAUGAUAAGAAAUGGUGGUGGUGAUGGAGGAGAGGGGGUAGUAUGGAUAAUAUGAGUAUUAUGGGCCUUAAGAGUGUAAUUAAUGGAUAUUUUGUGGAGGAAAUGGAGAGCAAGAAGAUGUAAUGGUGUGGUAUGAGUGAU
Molecule: long non-coding RNA, 351 nt
Filed under: Rosa chinensis
Lineage: Eukaryota; Viridiplantae; Streptophyta; Magnoliopsida; Rosales; Rosaceae
Description: sRNA RchiOBHm_Chr5g0078571
Source: RNAcentral